Molecule: ribosomal RNA, 464 nt
Filed under: uncultured bacterium
Lineage: Bacteria
Description: partial 16S ribosomal RNA
Rfam family: Bacterial small subunit ribosomal RNA
Source: RNAcentral
GACGAACGCUGGCGGCGUGCUUAACACAUGCAAGUCGAACGGAAAGGCCCUGCUUGCCGGGUACUCGAGUGGCGAACGGGUGAGUAACACGUGGGUGAUCUGCCCUGCACUUCGGGAUAAGCCUGGGAAACUGGGUCUAAUACCGGAUAGGAGCCAUUUUUAGUGUGAUGGUUGGAAAGUUUUUCGGUGUAGGAUGGGCUCGCGGCCUAUCAGCUUGUUGGUGGGGUAAUGGCCUACCAAGGCGGCGACGGGUAGCCGGCCUGAGAGGGUGGACGGCCACAUUGGGACUGAGAUACGGCCCAGACUCCUACGGGAGGCAGCAGUGGGGAAUAUUGCACAAUGGGCGCAAGCCUGAUGCAGCGACGCCGCGUGGGGGAUGACGGCCUUCGGGUUGUAAACUCCUUUCGCUAGGGACGAAGCUUUUUGUGACGGUACCUAGAUAAGAAGCACCGGCUAACUACGUG